Molecule: ribosomal RNA, 251 nt
Filed under: Salmonella enterica subsp. enterica serovar Typhimurium
Lineage: Bacteria; Pseudomonadati; Pseudomonadota; Gammaproteobacteria; Enterobacterales; Enterobacteriaceae
Description: partial 23S ribosomal RNA
Rfam family: Bacterial large subunit ribosomal RNA
Source: RNAcentral
ACAGGAGACACACGGCGGGUGCUAACGUCCGUCGUGAAGAGGGAAACAACCCAGACCGCCAGCUAAGGUCCCAAAGUCAUGGUUAAGUGGGAAACGAUGUGGGAAGGCCCAGACAGCCAGGAUGUUGGCUUAGAAGCAGCCAUCAUUUAAAGAAAGCGUAAUAGCUCACUGGUCGAGUCGGCCUGCGCGGAAGAUGUAACGGGGCUAAACCAUGCACCGAAGCUGCGGCAGCGACGCUGAUGCGUUGUUGG